GAUGAACGCUGGCGGCGUGCCUAAUACAUGCAAGUCGAGCGAACGGACGAGAAGCUUGCUUCUCUGAUGUUAGCGGCGGACGGGUGAGCAACACGUGGAUAACCUACCUAUAAGACUGGGAUAACUUCGGGAAACCGGAGCUAAUACCGGAUAAUAUUUUGAACCGCAUGGUUCAAAAGUGAAAGACGGUCUUGCUGUCACUUAUAGAUGGAUCCGCGCUGCAUUAGCUAGUUGGUAAGGUAACGGCUUACCAAGGCAACGAUGCAUAGCCGACCUGAGAGGGUGAUCGGCCACACUGGAACUGAGACACGGUCCAGACUCCUACGGGAGGCAGCAGUAGGGAAUCUUCCGCAAUGGGCGAAAGCCUGACGGAGCAACGCCGCGUGAGUGAUGAAGGUCUUCGGAUCGUAAAACUCUGUUAUUAGGGAAGAACAUAUGUGUAAGUAACUGUGCACAUCUUGGCGGUACCUAAUCAGAAAGCCACGGCUAACUACGUG
RNAcentral lists this ribosomal RNA (497 nucleotides) under uncultured bacterium. Its description in RNAcentral is "partial 16S ribosomal RNA". It matches the Rfam family "Bacterial small subunit ribosomal RNA", at positions 28 to 507 of the family's 1533-position model. The record is from RNAcentral.